Long non-coding RNA from Marmota monax (woodchuck), 1891 nucleotides. RefSeq lists it as uncharacterized. The transcript has 3 exons. The record is from RefSeq and is a predicted model, not a curated record. NCBI's taxonomy places the organism in Eukaryota, Metazoa, Chordata, Mammalia, Rodentia, Sciuridae.
UAAGGUCUUAAGUUAAGGUUUUUUUUUUUUUUUUGAAAUAUUUACUUUUUAGUUAUAGGUGAACACAAUAUUUUUAUUUUAUUUUUAUAUGGUGCUGAGGAUCGAACCCGGUGCCUCACGUGUGGGAGGUGAGCACUCUACCUCUGAGCCACAACCCCAGCCCCUUAAGUUAAGGUUUAAUCGUAAGUAUUGGCUUGAAAUCUGGUGAAAUGAGGAGGGCUUCAAAAAGCCGAAAUGCAAGUUUCCCUUCUCCCUUUGCUAGCCAAAUUGCCUUCCUUAUCAAGGGCACAGUGCACUAACGCCCGAGUGUCACUCAGGGUGGUGUUCAGUUUCCCGCUAGCCUAUGGAGUUACUCACACAAACUAAUCACAUACUCCUGCAAGAUCCAGAGGUCAUCCCCCAUCUAGUUAUCACAAAGCCUACCUCUCACAGCUGCUGGUUGUUCACUUUAUUUCUGAAUUCAAAGGCAUGUUGUCUUCUUCCCUUGGACUGCAAGUAUAUGUGGCUAGUGAACUGCUGUUGAUCUCACUUGCCCAGUAUCAGAUGUCAUGUAUUCUCACAUUCCCAAACCAGAGGGUGGUGUUAUAGUUUGGAUCUUAAGUGUCCCCCAAAAGCCAUAGGCUAAAGGCUUGGUUGCUAAUCAGUGGUACAAUCGGGAGAUAGGGCUUAGAUGAAGGAAGUUAGCUCAUUGAGGGCAUGACCUUCGAGGAGAUGUUGGGGCCCUGGCCCCUUCCUGUCUCUAUCUUGCUCCCUGGAUGUUGUGAGGUGAGAAGCCUCCUCUGACAUAUGCUCCCUGCUCUGAUGCUCUGCCUUAUCAUGGACCCAAAGCAAUGUAGCCAGCUGACCAAGAACUGAUACCUCGGAACCGUAAGCCAAAAUAAAUCUUUCCUACUAACACCUGAUUAUCUCAGUUAUUUUGUUACAGGCAUGGUAAGUUGACUAACACAGGCUGGAAUCCUCCCUCACCAAUGGGAUGAAGAGGAGUUGAUUAAAACACUACACCAUGUGUUGUGUGACUCAGGAGCCAGCACAAAUGUAGUAUGUUUGUAUGUAUAUUGAAUUGUUACGGAGCCUGAUGAAAGAGAGACACAUAGAAGUAAGAUGCCAGAUCUCAUGCAGAGGGACAUCUCUUCAGGGUUUUAUUUAUUCUUUUAAAUGCAUUGUGUUCCCAGGAAGAGCUUGUACAAAUGUGCCAGAAGCAUUGUGUCACCAUUGACAUUUGGAUGACAGUCUUCAAAGUGAUGUCAUUGAUACAGAGAUGAAUCAGAUUCAAUGCUUUUGAAAUUCACAGAGUAUUAAGAAAGUCAGAUGGGUAUGUAAAUAAUACUAAUACAGAAAGAACAUGAUAUCAUCACUGUACGUGCAAAAAGUUAAGACCAUGGAAAAUUCAGGUAAUAGAAAACUUCUGCCUGAGGAAUGAAGGAAACUGACUACAGCGGGUGAAUUCUGUUCCUGAAAAGAUGAAAUCUUAAACCCAGUAUCUGUGAAGUUGGCCUUAUUUGGAAAUAUUUUCUUUUUAAAUCAACUAAGUUAAGGACCUUGAGAUGAGAUCAUUUUGGAUUUAGGGAGGUUCCUAAUCCAAUGACUGCUAUAAUCAUAAUAGAGUUGAGACAUAGAACCAUGGGCCAGAGGCUAUAUCAGGACAGAUACAGAAACUGGAAUUAUGCUGCCCCAAGUCAAGGACCCUGGAGCCACCGAAAGCUACAAGAAGCAAGCAAACAUUCUUUUUUAGAGCCUUCAGAGAUAAUGUAUACCUUUCAACACCUUGAUUUCAAAGACUUCUGGCUUCCAAAAUGGUGACAGAAUAAAUUUCUGUUAUUUCAAACCACUAGGUCUGUGCUAAUGUUGUUCUUGCAGACCUAGGAAAUAAAGAUAAUCAUUACAGAAAUAA